RNAcentral lists this long non-coding RNA (2714 nucleotides) under Taeniopygia guttata (zebra finch). Its description in RNAcentral is "lncRNA (ENSTGUG00000023985.1)". The record is from RNAcentral. Lineage: Eukaryota; Metazoa; Chordata; Aves; Passeriformes; Estrildidae.
CCCUUUACAGCAAAUUUGGACACUGCUGAACCUCUGUCCUCGUUGUGGUUGGCUGAGCCUGUGAAGGGUGAAAGAGUUUCACCCUGGCAGUGCCAGUGAUGAAUUUUACAAGGAAAAAUCACCUGUUCUGCAGUUUCUACUUCACCUCCUUUCCAUUAAAAGAAAUCAGGAAACAGGCCGGUGGGGUUCUGCUGGUCAUCAUGGAUAGAAGGGGAGCUGGGCAGCGCAGAGAUGUUGGAGAGAGAGGGGAAGGAAAGGUUCCCUGGAAGAGGAAGAAGCAUGGAUGCAAGUGUUUUGUGCUUCCUGGCACCUGGUACCUGCACAAAUUGAUGCCAUGGCUGCAGAGGAGGAGUGGAAGCAUGGGCAGCUGGGACAGGGCAGACAGCAGGAUCAGUGGACAACUGUGGUGUAAAUCUUGCUGCAUUCUGUUCCCACCCUGUCUGAUAAUGAAUGCCAAUCAUGUGUGUUAACAUUGCUGAGCUAAUUAUUUCUUGGCACUAUGAUAGCAACAGUUUCCAACCUCAUGCUGAACUGUGUGGGUUUGCCACAGCUAUGAAAUUGUAUGAGACAAAGAGAAAUCAAAAUUUCCAGGAAAAUCAAGUGUGCAUACAAAAGAAAAUCCCAGCAGGGCUGAGCAAGGCACUGGGCUUCUGCAAAGCUAGCCAGGGGUACAAAACUGUGUACAUCACUUUGAUUUAUUCAGAUCAAAAAUGAAGCAACAAAAAGCAGGACAAUGUUGGAAGUUAUACUUGAAGAAUAUCCAUGCCUGGAGAACCAAAUACAUUGAAUACUCUGUCUGGUUUUCCUCUCUAAAGUACUCAAGUGACAUGAGACAAGAAUUCACAUCCAUGGAAAGCUGUGAGAUGGGAGAAAGCUCUUGGUGUUGAACAGUAGUAUCUGUUAAGUUCUUGGUGAAGAAGACUUCCUUAUCUUUUCAGAAAACAGCAUUUUUCAGUAUUGUCCCUUGAGAAAACACUUGUUGGACUUAAAUUUUGAAAAUGACCUGACCUUAACACAGCCAUUUCCUGAAAGAGGAAAGAACUCAAGAAGCGAAAUUCUGUCUUUCCAGCAGCAUGUUAGUUCAGCAAGUCUUUGGAAGCGUGCAGUAAACAUGGAGAACCUUUCACUUAUAAGAGCCUCCCACUGGGUAUUAUGGAUUUCAGUCUAAAGCUAACAGUGUUUGAAGAUCCUCCUUCUACACUCUGUUCUUGUUUGGCAGCCUCAACUCUAGUCAUAUGGAACAAGGGAUGGUAUUUCAAAAUGUUGUGGUUAGCUUGUACAGCUCUAUUGUCCAUCUUCUGCACAAGUGUUGCAGCAACAUUACAUAUGGCUGCUGUCUAGGGGGCUUUUAGGAAUUUAGAGUCAAAAAGACUCUGCCUUAGGCUACGAGGUAAAGUUAGAAGAAUGAAAUCUUGAAACAAUUUAACCAAAGAAAUAAUAAUAUAGAAACAAUUAUAAGUGUCAUUAUUUGCAUUAGUAGCUCUACUUUACUUUAAAAGCUAUGUUCAGUUCUAGGUACUUAAUCAUAAAAAGGAUAAUGCAGAAUUGAGGUUCAACAAGAAUGAAGAGGGGUUGGGAAAAUGCUAGUAAAAAGGAUGGUUGAAUACAUUUAAACUUACAGAGAAGAUGUGUGACUGCUGCAAUUCAAAAUAAGGCUGAAACUGCCUCUGAUCUUAAUUGUACAUAAUUAAUGACCAAACCAAUCAAAUGUGACACAGUAAAAUCAUAGAAAAUAAGAAAAGGUUAUAAUAAAGUGGGAACCUGCAGCUGCUGUACAGAGGGGCAACUAGGAACUCUAGACAGGAGCAAGUAAGCUUGAACCUGCUGAUGAAAUGAAUGUUUCUGCAUAAGAUGCACAUUAAAUUAUGCUUCUCACAACCAUCAGAAGCUUGAAGGUCUUCAGCCUUUUCAGGCACUAGGAGAUUAUUAAAAAGCAAAGAACCUGAGCUUCAGUGGCACUUAUAAAGCAGCAUCAGAUUGUAAAUGCUUCAGGCCUCUUCCAAAUACUCAGAUCUUGAGGCAUUUGACAUCUUCUUCAUGGCAGGUGAGGAUAAACAUUAUUAAGGUUCAAAUUGUAUCUUUUUUGUGGCUUCUUACAUGUAAGGUGACAGUCCCUCUCAGAGGAACAGGAGUUUGUGCUCGAUGUUUUGGAUUUGCUGGGAAACUCUUGAGUUUCUACAGCCUGGUGGAGGAAAACUCCCCUGUCCCAUUCUGUAUCUCUUUCUUUGCAGGGCUGAUUGGUGUUUUUGCUCUUUGUGCAGUCACAUGGUGCCAUUCUCAAAAGCUUCCUGUUAAAGCCAAAAAACACAAGCUCCCAUUUGUGUUUCCAAUUACACAUGUGUUUUAAAUUACCACUGUCAGUCACAGAGCUGACCCCUGUCUGCACCUUUCAGACAGGGGUGAGGCAUUGUUUGAUGUCAGCUUUGCAGGCUCCUGCUCAGUAAUGCACGGGGGCUCUCUGCCCAAGGCCAUGAUUGGAGACAAAUGCCUAUUUCCUAUCCAGUGAUCCUAAGACAACCUACAGUAGCAGGUAUGUUUUAAGCAGAUUGUUUUCCAGGGGGUUUGGUGCUUUUUGACUGUUGUCUUGACAUUGUUUUUGUCUUUGAUAACCAUUUUGUCCACUUCACAAACAAGAUUUUUAAUUGUGAAACUUUUGCCUUUAGCAAAUGGAAUAUGGAAAAGGAGGCAGAAACAAUAAAAAUUAUGAUGGAGUU